Molecule: long non-coding RNA, 660 nt
Filed under: Suricata suricatta (meerkat)
Lineage: Eukaryota; Metazoa; Chordata; Mammalia; Carnivora; Herpestidae
Description: lncRNA (ENSSSUG00005011735.1)
Source: RNAcentral
CAGCCAUGGAACCCAAGGGUUCCUUCCGAGGGUCUGGCUGGGCCUGGAGUGUGGUCAGGUGGGCCCUAGCUUUGUUCAUGGUCCUGUCUCCGGGGAAGAGGGAGGGGGGCUGUGGAAGGCGGCAAUUAUGAUGACGCCUGGCAACCGUCGGGCUGCAUUCUCAGCACAGAUGUGGACAGGAGCAGGCCGCGACCCCCUGUCCAGCUGAGGCGUCUGGAAGGAGCAGCUGCCCUCACGCUGCCUGGAGCCUGUCCACCUGGCAAGCGGCCUUUGGGAUCAGCCAAGGGAGCAAGUACUCCGAGCCCUGCAGACCGGCCGAGGCCCGUGGGGGGCACCCUGAAGGGGACCCUGUGGGGGAGGUGAGGACAGCUGGCUCCGUGCCCCAAAGCCCCAGCCCCGUGAGGAGAGCAAACUUCCCCAUCUGGGAAGCCCCUCUCCCCCGCACCCACUCCAACCUCACACACUGUAUCGGUCUCCGGCAGCUGCUGUAACACGGCAUCACAGACGCCAUGGCUGAACACAGACUUGUUACCUUAUGGCUCUGGAGGUCAGAAGUCCGAACUGGGUCGUACUGGGCUAACACCAAGCUGUCAGUAGGGCCCUGUUCCUUUCUGGAGGCUCUAGGGGAGAAUUCAUUUUCUCACCUUUUCCGGCUUUUAU